RNAcentral lists this long non-coding RNA (427 nucleotides) under Vulpes vulpes (red fox). RNAcentral describes it as "lncRNA (ENSVVUG00000008276.1)". The record is from RNAcentral. Lineage: Eukaryota; Metazoa; Chordata; Mammalia; Carnivora; Canidae.
CCUGACAACCAAGUACAAUGUACUCCAGGACAUCAUUGGGUCAGUGAUCACUGUAUAGCCAACCUAGCAAGAUGAUCAUUUACCUCUAAUGGGUACAUCCCUUCUGUUGACAUCACAAAGAGUCCAGCUUCCCUCAGGCAUUCCUGAGACUGACAGAUUUACGGUUCACCUGUUAACACCUCCUCUUCCUUCUGAUGAUGGUAAUGUUGAUGACAAUGCUGAAAGCAACUUGACUUACCCGAAGCCAGUUACUGACUUUGACAGUGUGAACAUGAACUUCCAAGAAUGUGAACAUGAUUCAACCUCUCCAUUCUCUGGGCAUUAUCUGGUUCUUGAUCCUUCAUUGAUUCGAGCAUCUUUGACAAUACGUUAAAGAAACCAAAAACUUUCCCAGUGCUUUUGAAUUGAACAUAAAAGGGAACCAAAG